GUAAGUAUAAUUUAACCAAAAUAUCAGAUUGUGAUUCUGAAAACAGGGGUUAAAAUCCCCUUACUCACCAAGGAAGGACAGAAAUCAGUAAGUGCUGCUAAUACUUAUGACCCAAGGUUAAAAUCCUCGGCUUCUUUA
This 138-nucleotide transfer RNA is filed under the name Macrhybopsis tetranema (peppered chub). RNAcentral's name for it is "tRNA-Ser". The stretch from base 1 to 69 matches the Rfam family "tRNA". Rfam says of the family: Transfer RNA (tRNA) molecules are approximately 80 nucleotides in length. Their secondary structure includes four short double-helical elements and three loops (D, anti-codon, and T loops). Further hydrogen bonds mediate the characteristic L-shaped molecular structure. tRNAs have two regions of fundamental functional importance: the anti-codon, which is responsible for specific mRNA codon recognition, and the 3' end, to which the tRNAs corresponding amino acid is attached (by aminoacyl-tRNA synthetases). tRNAs cope with the degeneracy of the genetic code in two manners: having more than one tRNA (with a specific anti-codon) for a particular amino acid; and 'wobble' base-pairing, i.e. permitting non-standard base-pairing at the 3rd anti-codon position. Lineage: Eukaryota; Metazoa; Chordata; Actinopteri; Cypriniformes; Leuciscidae. The record is from RNAcentral.